UUGCAGCCAAUUAAAUUGACCAGGCUCUUUACCCACUGCCCUGGGUGCAGCGGCUGCAAACACCAGCCUUCUUGGUAGUGUACCAGUCUUGUUUAUAUGGGUUGUCCUAAGGGACCUUGGAGACAGAG
Molecule: small nucleolar RNA, 128 nt
Filed under: Castor canadensis (American beaver)
Lineage: Eukaryota; Metazoa; Chordata; Mammalia; Rodentia; Castoridae
Description: Small nucleolar RNA SNORA70 (ENSCCNG00000016730.1)
Rfam family: Small nucleolar RNA SNORA70
About the family: snoRNA U70 seems to be exclusive to mammals and is a member of the H/ACA class of snoRNA which contain H (ANANNA) and ACA box motifs.
Source: Rfam by way of RNAcentral